GAUGAACGCUGGCGGCGUGCCUAAUACAUGCAAGUCGAGCGAACAGACGAGGAGCUUGCUCCUCUGACGUUAGCGGCGGACGGGUGAGUAACACGUGGAUAACCUACCUAUAAGACUGGGAUAACUUCGGGAAACCGGAGCUAAUACCGGAUAAUAUAUUGAACCGCAUGGUUCAAUAGUGAAAUACGGUUUUGCUGUCACUUAUAGAUGGAUCCGCGCCGCAUUAGCUAGUUGGUAAGGUAACGGCUUACCAAGGCAACUAUGCGUAGCCGACCUGAGAGAGUGAUAGGCCACACUGGAGCUGAGACACGGUCCAGACUCCUACGGGAGGCAGCAGUAGGGAAUGUUCCGCAAUAGGCGAAAGCUUGACGGAGCAACGCCGCGUGAGUGAUGAAGGUCUUCGGAUCGUAAAACUCUGUUAUUAGGGAAGAACAAAUGUGUAAGUAACUAUGCACGUCUUGACGGUACCUAAUCAGAAAGCCACGGCUAACUACGUG
RNAcentral lists this ribosomal RNA (497 nucleotides) under uncultured bacterium. RNAcentral's name for it is "partial 16S ribosomal RNA". It matches the Rfam family "Bacterial small subunit ribosomal RNA", at positions 28 to 507 of the family's 1533-position model. The record is from RNAcentral.